UGGUUAUUUUCUUCGCCAUAAUGUCAGUUCAAUGUCAAUGACGGUGAAGGAAAGAUGAUCUGAUAAGAUAAGUGUUGAUUAGGAUGAUUUUUGAAUGUGCUCUGCGCUCUCUUCAAUAAAGGCAAUGAACGAAGAUUUCUUCUUAUUUACAGCACGUCAGUCGAGUCGACUUCGGUUCACUUUCUUUUCAUCUGGUCCAAAGAAUAGGAUCUCUUGCAUUGCGGUACAGCAUAUUCCGAC
RNAcentral lists this long non-coding RNA (240 nucleotides) under Capsicum annuum. RNAcentral's name for it is "long non-coding RNA (CANN_LNC018391)". Lineage: Eukaryota; Viridiplantae; Streptophyta; Magnoliopsida; Solanales; Solanaceae. The record is from RNAcentral.